Long non-coding RNA from Poecilia latipinna (sailfin molly), 449 nucleotides. RefSeq lists it as uncharacterized. NCBI's taxonomy places the organism in Eukaryota, Metazoa, Chordata, Actinopteri, Cyprinodontiformes, Poeciliidae. The record is from RefSeq and is a predicted model, not a curated record. The transcript has 2 exons.
AGAACCGGGUGGUGUAGAACUAGAUGGUGUAAAACCGGGUGGUGUAGAACUAGAUGGUGUAGAACCCGGUGGCGUAGAACCAGGUGAUGUAGAACCCGGUGGUGUAGAACCAGGUGGUGUAGAACUAGAUGGUGUAGAACCAGGUGGUGUAGAACCAGGUGGUGUAGAACUAGAUGAUGUAGAACUAGAUGAUGUAGAACCGGGUGGUGUAGAACUAGAUGAUGUAGAACUAGAUGAUGUAGAACCGGAUGGUGUCUCUACCCUCCUGGUUCUAGUCAGAUCUCCAGCUGCAGCUUCUGGUCGUCAGUCUGACCUGCUGCAGGAAUCAUGACUGCAGCCGAUCAGCUGAUUGUUAUGACCAACUGGAAUCGGUUCUUAUUUCUCCCAGCCGGUAAAAUUGAUCUAGAACGGCAUGAAACUCCCUGCAGUCAGAGUAAACGCUGUGACUA